Micropterus salmoides (largemouth bass) is the source of this 337-nucleotide long non-coding RNA. RefSeq lists it as uncharacterized. The record is from RefSeq and is a predicted model, not a curated record. NCBI's taxonomy places the organism in Eukaryota, Metazoa, Chordata, Actinopteri, Centrarchiformes, Centrarchidae. The transcript has 3 exons.
UGUGCGUACAAAUAACACGGCUUUACACUUUCCAAUUGCGUGCGCUGUGUACACCAAACUCCAAUUGUGCGUGCAUAUGAUACGCAAAUCCUUCCCAUUAACUUUGGUGGACAGCAGAUCCGUCCACUAUUCAAAGCAGAAAUGUAACACAGAGUCACACACUCAGAAGCCUGAAGUUACAGGACAAUCUAAAGUGACCUGGUGGAAGAGGGACCAUGAUGGUCAGCGUGUGACUACCAGCAAACAGAGGAAAAAAGGUUCAUCUGCUGUUGGUACUUCUCCAUGUGCUAGUUUCUCUGUCACAACGUCACCAACUCCUAGCUACAAUAAUUCUGGU